Molecule: ribosomal RNA, 461 nt
Filed under: uncultured bacterium
Lineage: Bacteria
Description: partial 16S ribosomal RNA
Rfam family: Bacterial small subunit ribosomal RNA
Source: RNAcentral
AUUGAACGCUGGCGGCAGGCUUAACACAUGCAAGUCGAGCGGAGUGAUGGUGCUUGCACUAUCACUUAGCGGCGCACGGGUGAGUAACGCGUGGAUAUCUGCCUUUUGGUUCGGAAUAACCCCGGGAAACUGGGGCUAAUACCGGAUGGUUCCUUCGGGAUAAAGAUUUAUCGCCAAAAGAUGAGUCCGCGUACGAUUAGCUAGUUGGUGAGGUAAUGGCUCACCAAGGCGACGAUCGUUAGCUGGUCUGAGAGGACGAUCAGCCACACUGGGACUGAGACACGGCCCAGACUCCUACGGGAGGCAGCAGUGGGGAAUAUUGGACAAUGGGGGCAACCCUGAUCCAGCCAUGCCGCGUGAGUGAUGAAGGCCUUCGGGUUGUAAAGCUCUUUUGGCGGGGACGAUGAUGACGGUACCCGCAGAAUAAGCCCCGGCUAACUUCGUGCCAGCCGCCGCGGUAA